GAUGAAGAACGUAGCGAAAUGCGAUAAGUAAUGUGAAUUGCAGAAUUCAGUGAAUCAUCGAAUCUUUGAACGCACCUUGCGCCCUUUGGCCAUUCCGAAGGGCAUGCCUGUUUGAGUAUCAUGAGCACCUCAACUCUUUAUGGUUUUCCAUGAUGAGCUUGGACUUUGGGGGUUUUGCUGGCCUAUGGUCGGCUCCUCUAAAAUAAAUCAGCUUACCGGUGUUUGGUGGGUAUCAUGGGUGUGAUAACUAUCUACGCUUGUGGUUUUUCCACCAGGUAACCUUCGACAGCGGAGGUUCACUGGAGCUCAUAGAUGUCUCUCCUCAGCGAGGACAGCCCUUUGAAUGUUUGAUCUCAAAUCAGGUAGGACUACCCGCUGAACUUAAGCAUAUCAAUAAGCGGAGGA
This 405-nucleotide unclassified non-coding RNA is filed under the name soil metagenome. RNAcentral describes it as "partial contains 5.8S ribosomal RNA, internal transcribed spacer 2, and large subunit ribosomal RNA". The stretch from base 1 to 121 matches the Rfam family "5.8S ribosomal RNA", at positions 35 to 154 of the family's 154-position model. The record is from RNAcentral.